UCCCGACUUGACAUUCUAGAAGCAAAAAGAUGAGAGGAUACAAGAGAAGAUUUAGAGGAGAAGAUAGAAAGAUAAGAGAAGGAAAGAAGAACAAAGAGAAAAAUAGGAACAAGAAAAAAGAGAGAUAAAGGAAAGGAAAGAAGAAAAUAGUAUGAAGAGAAUUAAGAUAAGAUGAUGAAUGAGAAAUAAAAGAGAGAAAAAUAAGAGAUUGAGAGAAAAGAAUAAAAGGAAGUGUGGUUAAAAGCACAUACAACUCCUUAAAUAAUAGUUGAAACCAAGAUGAUAAAAGGAUGUUUUUCAAUCUUUGAACUUUUCUCGUUUUAUCAUUAAACCAUCUUUUAUAAUUCCAUCCUUUAUUCUUGAAAAGUUUUCAACUUCAUUUCCACUUCCCAUUAUUUUAAACUCCUAAAUAUUUUCAAAAUCAAACUUUAAGUUAUUAUUUCCUCCUA
This 449-nucleotide long non-coding RNA is filed under the name Vigna radiata. Its description in RNAcentral is "long non-coding RNA (VRAD_LNC005445)". The record is from RNAcentral. Lineage: Eukaryota; Viridiplantae; Streptophyta; Magnoliopsida; Fabales; Fabaceae.